UACGCAGUGAACUGAAAAUUGCUGCAAUUUCUUUUGUUUGCAGGUCCUUUCUCUAGAAGAACUUGAUAUAGAAGAUGAGGACCUACUCACAAAGUGGAUGGGAAGUAAAUCUAUCAAGAAACAGAAUAGAUAAUACUCGCAACGAAGUGAUUUAAGCUCAAACUUGCUGCAGGUAGUGCAUAAUAUGGAAAACGGAGAUUUCUUUCACUUGCAUAGCCUUGACAUAAUUGAUUUGGCUGGCAAACCGCUCGAAGGAAGACGGUGGUGGUUGAGUGCAGAUGACCCCUUUCAGUGCCUGACUGCAUGCACCAAUCUUAGUGAAAAUGUUAGAACUUCAUCCCCGGGGCGACGACUAUUAAGUUUCACCAUUAAUUGAGUCCUACAAAUUUGAUUUGUCUGGCGAUGUUCGGCUCACAUUGGAAGUAUUGUAGUACGUUCGUUUAAAGUGAUUGCUUCAAUUCAAGUUAUGAGAAGCAUGUCAGGUAGAUUAGAAGGUGUAGAAGUUUCUGAUAUAUUUGGUCCUUAAUAAAUUUAUUUUUCCGCAGAAUUUAGGUAUUCAUGUGAAUCUCAUGAUCUUGAACAAUGAACAUACAUAAAAGUGUUGAGCCUCUUGUUUUCUGAAGAUGGUGUCUUGUGUCAAAAGUGGCUAAGAAGGAGGCUUCAACUAAGACUAAACGCCGGGAAAAAAUGCAUUACCGAUUUGCAAUAGGUAAAUGGUUGUGGUCUGUAGAUAGUUCUCCCAUAUAUGUUGUAAAGAAUAUGUACUAUGGCAUUUACCAGUAUGAUGCAAUUGCUGAUGUUAUUCCAAAAAAUGUGUGAAUAGCAUCCAUCAAAUUGUUGUUCCAGCUUUUAUAACAUUGGGCCCGAUUGAGGAGUGCACUGCUCCAUACAGUUGUGUUUAGUGAUAGUUCAUUAAAAAUUUAAAAAUGUUUC
This is a long non-coding RNA of Lycium barbarum (goji berry), 933 nucleotides long. RefSeq lists it as uncharacterized. Lineage: Eukaryota; Viridiplantae; Streptophyta; Magnoliopsida; Solanales; Solanaceae. The record is from RefSeq and is a predicted model, not a curated record. The transcript has 3 exons.